RNAcentral lists this ribosomal RNA (254 nucleotides) under uncultured bacterium. Its description in RNAcentral is "partial 16S ribosomal RNA". It matches the Rfam family "Bacterial small subunit ribosomal RNA", at positions 524 to 776 of the family's 1533-position model. The record is from RNAcentral.
UACGUAGGGUGCGAGCGUUGUCCGGAAUUAUUGGGCGUAAAGAGCUCGUAGGCGGUGUGUCGCGUCGGCCGUGAAAACCUGCAGCUUAACUGUGGGCUUGCGGUCGAUACGGGCAUCACUGGAGUUCGGCAGGGGAGACUGGAAUUCCUGGUGUAGCGGUGAAAUGCGCAGAUAUCAGGAGGAACACCGGUGGCGAAGGCGGCCUUCUGGACAGUGACUGACGCUGAGACGCGAAAGCGUGGGGAGCAAACAGG